Molecule: ribosomal RNA, 492 nt
Filed under: uncultured bacterium
Lineage: Bacteria
Description: partial 16S ribosomal RNA
Rfam family: Bacterial small subunit ribosomal RNA
Source: RNAcentral
AGUGAACGCUGGCGGUAGGCCUAACACAUGCAAUUCGAACGGCAGCACAGUAAGAGCUUGCUCUUACGGGUGGCGAGUGGCGGACGGGUGAGGAAUACAUCGGAAUCUACUUUUUCGUGGGGGAUAACGUAGGGAAACUUACGCUAAUACCGCAUACGACCUACGGGUGAAAGCAGGGGAUCUUCGGACCUUGCGCGAUUGAAUGAGCCGAUGUCGGAUUAGCUAGUUGGCGGGGUAAAGGCCCACCAAGGCGACGAUCCGUAGCUGGUCUGAGAGGAUGAUCCGCCACACUGGAACUGAGACACGGUCCAGACUCCUACGGGAGGACGCAGUGGGGAAUCUUGGACAAUGGGCGCAAGCCUGAUCCAGCCCUACCGCGUGGGUGCAGAAGGCCUUCGGGUUGUAAAGCCCUUUUGUUGGGAAAGAAAAGCAGCAGGUUAAUACCCCGCUGUUCUGACGGUACCCAAAGAAUAAGCACCGGCUAACUUCGUG